UGAUCGUUCUGCACUCAUGCCACCUCCUGCCCUCCCCCAAUUGCCUCUCUUCUCCUCAUUUGUCACCUGCCUCCUUCCAAAGAAACGCCCUUUCCCUCACUCUAGUUGCCCACCACAAGGUGAAGACUCUCAUUACCUGUUCCACUCUUAUUAGCAUAAGAAAACCAAGCUCAUAAGACGAAACUUCACAAAAGAUGUCUAAGCAAUAACCAACUCAGUUUAUAAAUCCAGAGAUUCCUGCCUAUGUUGGAUUUGCAAAGUUUCCCAAUCAAGUUCACCGAAAAUCAAUGAAAAAAGGUUUUAGUUCACACUAAUGGUGGCUGGUGGAUGAGGUCUAGGAAAAUUGACUCUCAUAAACAGCCUUUUCCUGACUGACCUCUACCCAGAAAGAUCAUACUUGGAGCUGCAGAGAAAAUUGAAAUAACUGUCCAGAUUGAGGCUUCAAUUGUUGAAAUUGAAGAGUGAGGGGUUAAGCUACACCUGACAGUGGUGGACACCCCUGGCUAUGGUGACGCUGUCAUUUGCAGGGAUUGUUUUAAGACAAUUAUCUCCUAUAUUGAUGGGCAGUUUGAACGGUACCUGCAUGACAAGAGUGGCUUGAACAGGCGGCACUUCAUUGAUAACAGGGUGCACUCUUGCUUUUACUUUAUUUCACCUUUUGGACAUGGAUGUCAGCCCUUAGAUGUCGUGUUUAUGAAGGCAAUACACAAUAAGGUGAAUAUGGUGCCUGUCAUUGCAAAAGCUGACUCUCUGACUCUGAAGGAACAGGAGCGGUUGAAGAAAAGGAUUCUAUAUGAAAUUGAAGAACAUAACAUCAAAAUCCAUCACUGGCCCGAUCACUUACUUGAUGAAGAUGAAGAUUUCAAAGAGCAGACUAGACUUCUCAAGGCCAGCAUCCCAUCCUCUGUGGUUGGAUCCAAUCCGUUAAUUGAAGCCAAAGACAGAAGGUCAGGGGCUGCCUCUCCCCGUGGGGGGUUGUGGAGGUGGAGAACCCGGAACACAAUGACUGUCUGAAGCUUAGAACCAUGCUCAUCACCCGCAUGCAACAUCUCCAGGAGGUAACCCAGGACCUUCACGAUGAAAACUUCCGUUCCGAGAGGCUCAAGAGAGGUGGAGGGAAAGUGGGGAACGAGGCCGUGAACAAAGACCAGCUCUUGCCGGAAAAGGAAGCCGAGCUUUGCCGCACGCAAGAGACGAUCGCAAGGAUGCAGGCGCAGAUGCAGACGCAGAGGCAGGGCGGGGAUGGCGACGGCGGGGCUCUCGGGCACCACGUGCGAGGUGAUGUGCCCAUAUAA
Molecule: RNA transcript, 1295 nt
Organism: Carlito syrichta (Philippine tarsier)
Lineage: Eukaryota; Metazoa; Chordata; Mammalia; Primates; Tarsiidae
Gene name: septin-2 pseudogene
Exons: 2
Source: RefSeq, a predicted model, not a curated record